GCGCCCGAAGCCAGUAGGCCGAGGGCACGUCUGCCUGGGCGUCACGCAUCGCGUCGCCCCCCUCCCCCGUGGGGUGGGGCGGAGAUUGGCCCCCCGUGCGCAUCCCCGCGUGCGGUCGGCCCAAAUGCUCGUCCUCCGUCGGCGCACGUCGCGACCAGUGGUGGUUGAACUCUCAACUCGCGUGCUGUCGCGUCACGCUUCGCCGACGGUCCGAAAAUAAGAACCCGACGGUGCGAUCACGAUUUGUGCCCACGACCGCGACCCCGGGUCAGGCGGGAUCACCCGCUGAGUUUAAGCAUAUCAAUAAGCGGAGGAA
RNAcentral lists this ribosomal RNA (316 nucleotides) under Otostegia fruticosa. RNAcentral's name for it is "eukaryotic LSU rRNA". Lineage: Eukaryota; Viridiplantae; Streptophyta; Magnoliopsida; Lamiales; Lamiaceae. The record is from RNAcentral.